UUUUAAAGUGAAGCAGCUGCAUCAAUGGUUACAAGAUAAGGAAAGCGUGGUGAAGCCUCAUUCAGUGCCUCGAAUAAGAUUUUGAAGACUGGGUAGCAAAAUCGUAAGCCGGCACAGCUAUAACCUAAGGAGUACCAUGAAUCACCGACUAAUUGCAUUUAUCCUCUUGGUCACAUUUGUCAUCUCUACAAGAGCUUAUUUCCUUCGUACAGGGGGAAAACGAGGGGCAGUUUUACACAAGAAACGUUCUUCACUUUGGAAAGCUCGCUUAGCAAACACGCGUGGUCUCAAAGAAGGUUUGAAUGAUAUGCUCUGGUCAUGGAUGGAAGACGACAACAAAGAAGAAGACAAAUUGAACGAUAAGGAAAUGUCGGAAUAAAUUAUCGUGAAUGUGGCCUUGCUAUUUAUUUAACCAGAAGCCUAACAAGUACAAAAAGAUAUCUUGUGCAAAAACCGUUCUCUGGUUUUAAAUCAUUAAAAACGUAGGUUUUCAUUUCGGAUAUCAGUUAAGAGCCUUCGUUUUUAAUGAUUUUUACCAAAGAACUCUUGUACGCGCGAUGAAUAUGCGUGAUGUAAUUAUUGUGAA
This is a long non-coding RNA of Pocillopora verrucosa, 586 nucleotides long. RefSeq lists it as uncharacterized. The record is from RefSeq and is a predicted model, not a curated record. Lineage: Eukaryota; Metazoa; Cnidaria; Anthozoa; Scleractinia; Pocilloporidae.